AGCAAAAAAGCAUAAUGAAGAGCAAUGGGAUUAAACGAGUGAGAGGGACGCGUUUAGUGAGAUUACGGGGCGGCAGACCCCCAGACCCUCCCUGUCGCUAGAUCAGUAAACACAUCAUUCGGUUCGCUGGCUGCAAGGAGCGCAGCAGGCACGGGACAGCAGCUCCUGCCUCUGCAGCGAGUGGGAAGCUCCUCUGCUCCCAGCGCAGACACCUUUGCUCAGCCCGGGCGGGGCCCCUUAGCCGUGUGACUUAAGAACCGAGCCUUUGCCCUCUGGAGGAGCAGGGGAGCCAGGCAGCACGCUCGGCACUGGCCGGGUGGCUGCCCUCGCACGGACAGCAGGUAGGUGGUCAGCAGUACCACAGCCUGGGGCAGACUUCCGGCGUGCCUGAUAUGUUGCUGCAUUCCAAUCCCGUAUUCCGAUCAGCCCAGAGAUUUUACAGCCUUUAAAGUCUUUAGUGAGUUUCUUCAAAGAUGAAAUGCGCUGCUGCGAACACGCCUAUGCCAGCUCUGAAUUGGAGCUGGAGUCGUGUCGCUUUGAAGCCGGGUGAGCGCCUCGUGUCCCGAGGGCUGCGGGGCUGAGCUGGGCAGGGUCUAAAAGCACGCUGUCAGCUCCAGCUCCUCAUUCAGCAGUGCCUGGCAGCAGCCAGGACACCCAGUAAUGUGUGCUCGCUUCUGAAGGAAGAUUGUACCCUGAUCCCUGGGCUCGGGCUCACCCUGCAGCAGACAGUGCUCUUGUUUAAAUUGCUGUUGAUGCCUUCUCCAGACAAAACGCCCAAACAAGGCAGCUACCACCGGAACAGAGUAAGACAACUUGUUUAUCAGACAGAGGAAUGCUCCUCAGCAGCACGGAGCAGGAGGAAGAGGGAGCUGCCGUCUGCAGGCCCAGCGUGGGCAGUUCAGAGAUGGUCUGCAUUGUUCUACAUCAGGAUAACAAGGCACUUCCGCAGCCCCUUUCCUGUGGGAAUCCCAACAGGUUGUUGUCCUCCCCCUGCAGGAAGGGAAGCGUGGCACCAGGGGGCUGAAACAUCCCAUCUGUCAGAUGUCUGCACUAAGCAGUAUGUUCUUCUCUUCACCUUUGGUGCUUUUCCUAGUCUUGGGUGCCAGCCUUCACCUGUUCAGCUUUCCCUUCCAUGGUAGAUGCAAGCAACACGCAAGAUACCUCCUAAGAAUAGAGAAAUGAGACAGCUCAACGCUGCAAUUUAGUAACAGAAGUAAAAGGGGACGUUAAUGGAAAACAAUUGCAGCUCUGAUUAAGACCCAAGAUAGGAAUUUCCCUUCUCUGUAAGAAAUCAGCUCAGCAUCUGCUGAUUGGGAGACUCGAGAAAGGAUAUGACUAGCUCAGCGACAGGGUCUCUCUUCCUAUAAACUGUGGAGCAAACCAGGAUAACCAACUUGCACUUAGACUGUGUCAGACAGGCUGACCUCGCCUUCCUUCUACAGUGAGACCUACAGGGAGAUGAACCUUGCCAGACUGAUUCACUGAGCCCUUCCAGGUCUGCACACAGCUAUCCACUGGGACAAGCACAGGAGAAGGCAAAGCAAGGGCCAGGCUGGGGCACAACACCGUGCUUUUUAGGACCCUGUUUCUGCAGGUCUCUAUCCACAGAGAAUGAGGUUUGAGAAGGAAGGAAGGUGCAGGUGCAUGCUGGGACCUCAUCCUAGUCUGGCUUUGGGCAUAAAUGGAGUGACUGCUGCCAGUGGUGAAGGUCACUUCUGCACAGAUACAGCCCCAGCCAGCAAUUUCUGAGCACCUAAAGGAGAGAACCACGCUCUCGCAGUUUGCUGGCAAGAUGCAGCCAGCAAAUUCUGGCAGUGAAUGUGGAUGCUGGUAUAGAAAGAGAGGAUCCUGUCAAUGGGACAAAAGGGUGUUGGUGCUUUUUUCCAGUGCGGGCUAUUUGGCUUUGAGUACGAGUAAGAAUUGCACUAAUAAAAUGCCUCUUUUGUGUGCAGACUCUA
Molecule: long non-coding RNA, 1958 nt
Organism: Lagopus muta (rock ptarmigan)
Lineage: Eukaryota; Metazoa; Chordata; Aves; Galliformes; Phasianidae
Exons: 2
Source: RefSeq, a predicted model, not a curated record